Molecule: long non-coding RNA, 42573 nt
Filed under: Vitis vinifera (wine grape)
Lineage: Eukaryota; Viridiplantae; Streptophyta; Magnoliopsida; Vitales; Vitaceae
Description: long non-coding RNA (VVIN_LNC003436)
Source: RNAcentral
CUCAAAUUCAAUGACACAAGAGAGGUAGCUUCAACCAGAACAUGGGGUAUAGGUCCUAUUAGUUCAUUGCUUUCCAAAUGUAAAAACUUCAUGUUUGUUAGAUUGGCACAAAGAGGAAGGGUCGGGCCAAUUUUGUUGUGAGAAAGGUCUAAAAAACGUAGUUCAUUGAGUUUGCAAAAGCCUGUUGGCACAACACCAUCCAAAUAAUUUCUAGACAAGAUAAGUGUCUCCAAGGCUAAGAAGUCUCCAAUCCAAUCUGGAAUUUGACCCAUCAACGAGUUGGAGCUGACAUCCAACAAUAGUAGGAAAGAGCUAUUCAAAAAUCCACGAGAAAUCUCUCCCCAUAAGUCAUUGUUAUCCAAAGACAAAGAGGAUAACCGUGUCAAGUUAGAUUUUGUGGGAAGAGUGUCAUGUAAACUGUUGUUGGAUAACUUUAAAACCUCCAAUGAGAUGCAACCCAUCAUCAUGUGCUCAGGUAGUUGUCCCGAGAGAUUAUUGUUUGACAAAUCUAAGGAUCGCAAUUGUUCCAUGUCACUCAUCGAGGAAGGAAUAUUACCUUGUAAUGCAUUUCCAGACAAGUUUAAGACCUCCAACCUUGGAAAAAUAGAGCCUAUGAAAGGUGGAAGCUCUCCGUGAAUGCAAUUCGAGGAGAAAUCAAGCAAAAGCAUGUGGGAAUGUUUUGAACUUGAGCCCAAAUCAAGAACACCUGUCAAGCUGUUACUUUCAAAGCUUAGGUAUUCUAGUUUCGUAUUAUUGUCUAAUAACCAGGUUGGGACAUCUCCUGUCAUAUGGUUGUAGCUAAGGUCGACCACUCUCAAAUCAUGUUGACUCAAAAGAAAGCUGGGUACAACCCGGCUUGGCCAAUUGAGAGUGAAGUUGGAUAACCGGAGGAUUUUCAAUUGAAAUAGAGGAACUGACCAUGUUGGAUUUUCAAUCUCAACCUUCAAAUACUUGUUAUUGCUAGAAAGUUCGAAAACCUCGAGUCUGGAGUGGUUGAAGAGUGAACCAAAAUAGAUUGAGCCCUCGAAAUGAUUAUAAGAAAGAGAAAUGUACUCGAGUGACUUCAUAUUGGAGAAGAGAGAUGAAGGAAUAGUUCCAUGGAAAUCAUUUCUGGAUAGGUCAAGCAAACGUAGGGAUGUCAAAUUGUUGAGACACAUAGGAAGACUACCCUCAAAUCCAUUAUAACUAAGAUCCAACUCUUCAAGGUUGAGUUUGCACAAGCCUGCGAAAGUGAAACAUGUAAUUUAUAAUUACAAUUAAAAGUAGUGGCAACAACUAAGGGAAAAAUAUAUUUUGGAUUAUCUUGGUUGAUAAAUGUCACCACAAUUCCUAAGGUAACUUGUUGAUAAUUUUAAAUAUUUUUGUACUUAUAUUUUUAUUUUUAUUAAUAAUAAAUAUGUUUACCCUCCCAAUCUUUUUAUUUCUUGUUUUAGAAAAUAAAAUUCCCUAGCAUUUUUAAGAAGCCAAACAUGUACCUGUUAAGAAGAUAAAAUCUUUACUAGGAUUAGAUUUUAUGAAAAUAUUGGAUGAAAGUUCAAGAAAAGAAUUUUGAUGGGAUGAAAAAUGAUUAAAACUCGUGAAAAUAUGAAAAAUUUUGUAAGAAAUUAUAUAAAAAUAAUAAUAUAUGAAUUGGAAUUGUGUUUUAUUAAUAAUAAAUGUAAUCGUUAAUUUUUGUUAUGUAAAUACUAAAGCUAAGUAUAUGGUAAUCCUAGUAAAGAAAAAUCAAAGAUAAGGUCAGAAUAACUUAUAGUAUCGGGAUUGUCAUCCUCUGUGACCAAUACUAAUAUGUUUAGCUAUUAAAUUAGAAAAAUUAAAUAUUGGAUGAAACUAAAUUAAACCCUAAUCUAAAUAAAUAGAAAUAAAAAUUCGAAUGACAUUUUUUUAGAAUAUCUAAUAAAAGCUAAAUAAUGCAAAAGAAAAUAUUCAAGAAGAACACAAGUUUGAUUUCAAAUUCAUCAAAAGAAAGUGGAAUUUUUUAUUUAUUUUGAUGGUUGAAGAGUCAAUCCAAAAUCAAAUGAGAUCUUAAGAUUAGUUUAAAUUUGAAACCCUAAUUUGACGAAAAAGCCUAGAUCACAAAAGUAUUUUAAAUUAACCAUAAUCCUUGUUUCUCAUUUCGACAAUAAAUCCUAGAUUCAUCAAUGAAACUCAUCUCAAUCUCAUGUACCAUUAAUCAAAAUAAGUUGUUCGAUGAUUAAAAGGCAAUAUAGUAUUAUUAGAAUCAAAGUAAGCAUUGAUUGUCCUUAAAUUGAGAGAAACUAGUUAGAGAAAUAAUCAAUCAUAAUUUAAAUACAAAAAGAAAGAUUUUAGGUAUGAAUGUUACCACUCUUCUUUUCUUGAGAUUAAAAAUUUUGAUUUCAUAAAGGUGAAAUCACAAUUUUGAUUUGGGCAACGAUGAAAGUCAACAUCAAGAACUUCAUCUUUGCCAAAAUUGAUUUCUUAAGCAGAAUUCAGAAUUUUAGAUUAUAACAUAAUUGAAUCCAUUUCACUUCUCAAAAGUAGUUUUGUCAAGAUUGUUUUUAUUCACUUCUUUUAUUCUUGCCAGGAUGUCCUAAUUAUUCCCUAAAUUGCUUUCAUGCAUGUUUUCAACUUAACAAACAUUUUUUUUUUUUUUUGCUACUAAGUGGGUAGUAUUUUUUUUUAGGAAUAUUUUAUUAAAAGACUUCAAAUACUAUAAUUUUGAUUGAUUCUAUAUUGAUUAUUCAUGAAUUGCUUCUAAGAUGUUUUUUUUUUCUUUGAUUGAUUAUUGAUUAUCCUUAAGUUGACAUGUUUCCAAGUUGCUCUUUUUGAAAAUCAUACGAUGAUGUUAGUUAUUUGAAAACUUUUUUAUGAUGAUAAUUUGAUUAUUCAUGAGUUGAUUACAAGUUGUUGUUUUUUGAUAAUUCCAUUAUGAUUAAUAUUUAUGAGUUGUUAAGAUUUUUGAGUGUAGAGUAUUUUGAUUUUUUAGUUUAAGUAUUUUGAUAAUUGCAUGAUGAUUAAUAUUUAUGAUUUGUUAAAAAUUGUAAGUUCCUAAAUAUUUUUUAUUUUUUAAAGCGCAUGAUUGUUAGUUUAAGCAUUAUGAUAAUAACAUGUUUUGACAUUCGUUUGUAAAUUAUUGAUAAUUGCAUGAAGUUGAUUAAUUUUAUGUGUUGAUUGAUGCCUAUUAGGAUUAGGGUUAGGUUUGUUGUCUUUGUGUAGUUCUCACUCAAUUUAGGCUUUAUGAUUAUAAAUGAUAGGUAGUAUGGGGCUAUUCCAUUUGGUUUUGCAUUGUUAUUGGAUCUUUUCGUGGUUAUUUGUUAGUAAUGAUCAUAGAUGUUAAAUUUCAAUCCACUUAAUAUCAUACACUUUCAUGGGGUUGUUGAGUUUAGUAUUUUGUAUGCUUUAAUAUCCAUAAAGUCAAAAUUUCAAAAUAUAUAUUUUCUAAGAAACCAAAAGUCAAAUAGGGAACACUCCAAUAGGAAGAGUGGAUAGGUGAUUUAAAAAAAAAAAAAAAAUAUUUAUAUGUUAUACUCAAUUCUUUUACCCUGCGAGAUGUUAGAGAUAAACUUUUCUAUCAAUUAUAGGCAAUUCAAAUCGAAUAUAAAAUAUAUAGAUGAUAAGACAUAAGAUUUUUACGUAGAAAACCCCACACUAAUUGUGGAGAUGAAAAACCACUGGGUUUAAGAUAUAUUAAUCUAAAUCCAUUAUACGAAAUCAAGUUACACAUUUAUUUAUUCGUUUUACCAUAAAGACUUUUACUUUCCAAUACCUACAACUUGAUUCACGUUGGUGAUACAACAACCCUCGAUUGCUCUAGUGGAUCACUUUAGCCUUGUUGAAGGGAUGAAGGACUUCAAACCAAGAUUCAAAGGUCUAAUCAUUGAGUAAGAGAUUGGGAAUUGUAUGAUACUUUAGACUUUCUCUUUAGGAGACCCUCUUUAAGGAAUAUAAAGUCUCUCAAUGAUCCAUCUCUAAUCUCUAACCCUUAAAGGGGUUAAUAGGGAGGUAUUUUUAUGCAAAAACUUGAAGAGUUUCGGUUUUCGAAAAGUUUUAAACCAUAUUUGCAUGAGAAAUCUAGGUGAAAUUUGCAUUAUCACUCGAGCCAACUCACCCACUGCUUGAGUGCCUCAGGCUUGAGCGGUCCUAAGUACUUAAGUGCUCUAGGCCGCUUGAGCGCUCCUGCCAUGUUUCAAAAAUCAAUUUUAAAACCUUUUAAGUUCAAAACAAAAUUGAUCCCCUUAAUACCUCAAUGUAGCUUAAUUUGUCACAAGUCAAACCUUUUUAGAUGUACUUGUGAUUUCUCGGUUGGAUGAAUAACAACUCUUAAUCUUCAUUAAUGGAGAACAAGUCACUAUUUAAAAAGAAUUCUAUGACCAAACAUAAAAAGAAACAAAAUUAUCAAUAUAAAAACAAAACUCAAUGUCCUAAAUUUUUUCAAAGAAAAUUAAUCCAUAAGGUUUUCUUAAAAAAAUCAUCUUAGGUCAUUAGGGUUUAAAAAAGUCUUUUUUAAAAAAAAAAAAAAAAAUACAACCAAUUUCAAUUGGUAUACAUCUUUCCAUUGUUUUUUUAAAUAAAUUUUUAUUUCUGACACAUGAAUCAAAGUUCAUGAUUCCAAAUAAAAAUGAAUGAUUGUUGGCCUUGAUAAACUCAUUAAUGAUCAUACAAGGAUAGGGAUAUGCGAAUUAAACUUGUGUAUAGUAAAUGGGGACUUGGUGAGGCCCCACCCACAUACAUUCAUUUUUUAAAAAAUGUUAAUGCUAUUGUUUGAUGUAUUUCUAACCACUAAAUUAAAAAAUUAGAAGUGAAUGGCUUAGGGUUUUUCUAAAUUUUUUCUAUGCUUAGAGCAUAUUCUUAAAUUUGUCAAUUAAAUUUUUCUUGGGCUUAAAAAUCAUUUUCAAUUGGAAGAAUUAAGUUGGUAUAGGUCUUGUUUUGGCCCUAUUCCGCUUGAGAUGGUUUUGAAAAAAUAAAUUAAUUUUAAUUUUAUUCAAUAUUUUUUACUUAAUCUAGACUUCUUGAAAUUAACUUUAGAUCGCUAUUUUGUUGAAAAUUUAUUUCCUAGGUGGGAGAAAAAAUUCUUCUUUCUGCACCUACUACAUUGGCCCUAUUCUUAGUCAAGGGCUAUUUGUCUUGAUGCAAAAAUUCUUCUCGUGUGAUUUAAUCAUGUUGUUAUUUUUCCUAUGAAGUAGAUGUAUUGAAUAAAUUGCAUGAAUUUUGGUGUGAUUUUAUCAUACAUUUAAAUAAUUUAAUUAAAUUAGUCUUUACAUGCUAUUGAUAUCUACUCUAUUUAUAAUUGAUAUGCUUGUGAUUUAAUGUGGUAUUAAUUGAGACAUAGUUUAGUUAUCUAACAUUUUGGAUUGUAAUCUAGACACAUAAGGGAUGUUAAUCAUUUUGUUUCAUGAUAAAAUUCUAUAUUUAAGUUUUUUUUUUUGGAUUUAUUUUGUAUGUUCACCUAUUAUGCCAUGUUGCUAAAUGUUCUAAAAAGUGAUGAUGAAUUUGUUUUAAUAUGGUAUAAUUGGUGGUGAAUUAAAUUGAUUUGACACUUGGGUUGUAUUGUAGAUACAUUGAGGAUGAUGUAUAAUUUUUAUUUUGAUAGAAUACCACUUAGGUUUUUAUUUCUUAUUUUAUUUUCUAUUUAAAAAUAAAUAAAAAUAAGUGACGACUCAAAUUUUUUUGAAAAAAUCAGUUUUUUCACAAAAGAAAAAAGAAAAAAAGAGUUUCAUUGAGUGGGGACGCAUGUGAAAAAUGCGGGUCCAUAGAGAUACUGUCUCAAUAUCAUAAGAUAUCAUAACGUCUCUAUUUGAGAAUACCUAUUUGCCAUGAACCUUUAUUAUAAUUGACCCAAUUCGUAAAGAAAUAUUAUUACAUUAAGGUCUCACUCAUAGGUCGAAGUCUGUUGACUUCAAUAUAGGCUCAAUAUCUUCAGUAUAGAUUCACUGUAGGUCUUGUAUAAUGUAUAACCAUACACAUUAAUACACUCACUAUGGGAACUCUAUCUCAACGACCAAGACAAGUCAUCUUUUCAAUUAGAAGGUAAUACACUAUAGUCUUUGUUGAGUUGCCCAAAUGCAUGAAUUGAAUAUAAACUUUUCAUCAUCUUGCAAGGAAUUUAUGACUUGAAUAUUUUGUGCAACUCUUAGUCAAGUACAAUGCAAGUGAUAUGAACAUAAGUACUCAGAUAACCAAUUGAUGCAUAAGGGAUAAUAAAGGUAACUAGAAACAUAAAUAAAUUAAUUAAUUUAUUAAUAAAUCUAAAUUUUGUUAUAGCAUGUCAUGCUUUCUUAGACUUUAUAUCAACAAUUAAGACAUCCAAAUCUCAAAUUUCUUCAAGAAUUAGAAAAAAAUAAAAUAAAAUUUAGUGUGUCUAGUGAGCGAAGUAAAUAUGGCACCUAUGGUAAUUAUCAACUUUGAAAAUGUGUAAACUUCCUUUUAACAAGUCUCAUUCAACUAAUAAAUUUCCUCUUGAAAAAAUUACAAUGAUUUAUGGCAGUUUGCCUUAACUUUAUCAUCUAAAAAUUUCCAAUAUUUUGUGGUCUUUAUUGUUGAUUAUAAUUGCUACACGUGGCUAUAUCCUUUAUGAUCCAAAUUUUAUUUAUUUUUAGUUUCUUUCUCAAAUUUCAUUUUGAUAGGAAAAUAAAGACAUUUCAAAGUGAUGGUGAUGGUGAAGGUGAAUUCAUCUCUAUUGCUUUAAUUCACUUUUCAUUUGGCUUAGUGUGGCAUUGCACAACAACUUUCAUUCCUUAUACACAUGAACCAAAUGACCUAGUCGAAAUAAAACAUAGGCAUAUUGUGGAAACGAAGGCUCAUAAUGCUUCUUCAUGCUAACUUACCCAUGAAAUCUUGGGUUGAUGCAUUUCUGACAACAACCUACCUUAUAAUCAGGUUACCAUCUUUUUCCCUUGAUAUGAAUACUUUGUAUUUCAAACUCUAGUUUAUACACCUUUGGAUGUCAGUGAUUUCCAUCCUUAAAACAUCAAGGUAUCAAUAAAAUUUCUCAGAGAAUAAAGUUAUUGUUGGGUUGAUGAAAUGAAAAUUACAUAUAUGGCUACGAAUAAAGUAAAUAAUGCAAACUAUUUCUGAAAAUCUAACAAGAUCUUGUUAAUGCAUAAUCAAAUUUUAAUUCUUCCACCAGGUCACUUCACACUACAAGUAUAACACGAAUCAAGAAGUCGAAGCCUAAAGCACAAGGCGAUGAGGACCGGUCAAGACCGCAGCCUAACAUUAAGGCGCCUUAGCCACACCGAAUGAAGAAUCAUAUGAAGCAUAUCGUAGGGCUGCGCCGGCCGGUUUAUCACGAAAUGCCUCUGCACUUGCUUCACCCUCUUUUGCAUCCUCAAAUACCUCUCAUUCGGAACCGCUUUCAAUAUCUUCUUAAUUUCCGGUAUCUUGUCCGAAGUGAUAUUUAUGGAAAACUUGCUCCAAUCAAGAACUUCACUAAACGGCAGCACAUAGUAAUCGCAGAUGAUUACAGGCACACACCCAGCAGCGAUUGCUUCCACUACUCUGGGGCUGGCAACUUCCCAUCCACUUGGACACAGGCAAAACUUGCUGUCAACCAUUGAUUUAGCGUAGUCUCGAUUGCUGGGAAGGUGCUCGUACACCUGGACUUCGUCAUCAUUUUCUUUCCAGGACCUGAACAGGAGGGUUCGCAUGUAGCCGGAUUCACGGCCGGAGAAGAAGGCGAGGAUGUGACGCUGGUUAGGGGGUUUGUCGAGGUGAGGUGGGCCGAGCUUGCCUUUGGGUAUGUUGACUUCUGGCAAAGAGAUGUCUCUGAUGGGCUGGAACCUUUCGGAGGUGUUGGCAUUGCAAAGGACUCUGAUGAAAUGCUUGUAGAGGUCAGGGGUUACAAUCGAAAUCUCUGGUGCCUGAGAUUUCAAGAUAUAUGAUUGAUUAGUAAAACAACAUUGAUUAUAGAAACAAGUAAUGACUGGAUUUUGAGUUUCAGAGGGAGGGGGCCGUCAAAUCGUAAAUGUUUCUCACUACUUUUAUUAAAUUUUACAGACAUGGCAGCUAAUGUUUGAGAGUUGGGAAUUUUUAGGUUUAGGAAAACUUUAAGAUUUGCAGGAGAAUUCAUUUCUAAAUAGAUUAAGUAGUUUACAUUUUUACCAUAAUUUCUUCAGACAAUUCUACGGAACUACCCUAAUAUAUACAUUGGAGGUCUCUUCCAUCCAAUCCCCUUUUUCCAACUUUCAUCUAGACCUCAUCUUUUCUUCUCUAGAAUCUCUCCAAGCCAGAUUCCUCUUCUCUCAUAUCUCUUCUACUGUCCCGUUUUCUCUCAAGUAUCUCCCAUUUUCCCCCACACCUGUCCAUUUUCCUCAAAUCUUGAAAUCUCACAUCUUGAAAUUUUAAAAUUAAUUUGAUAUUUUUUCUAAUGUUUUCUAAUACAAAAUCGAAGUUCCAACAUAUAUUAGCAAAAGAAAAUGCAAGUACGUACGUACCCAAUCAUGGCAAGAGACUAGGAAAUGGUCAGCUCCAUUACUUCUAUUCCAAUAUGGAUAUUUAUUUGAAACAACGUAGAUGUAGUCUGUGACCAAUCGUUGAAGCAUGUGACCAGAGUAGUCAACAGGAGGAGAGUAGAUAUAGUGAGCAAUGCGAGUUACACUUAUUGGGAUGUAAAAGACAUGAGCCACAUCAGGAUGACCCGCCAUGAAGUGGCUGUCUCCACUUUCCAUCUCAUCCAUAAAUUGCCCUUCAAUGCCAUAGAUGCUAUUUUUUGGCCCACCAUGCACUAGGGGUUGGUCUCCCUCCUUGUAGGUCCAUAUCUUGAAUCUCUUCUCCAUUUCUAUGUGACUCCUAUUAUGCAAUCAAAGGAAUUACUUGCAUGAAAGUUAAUUUUGAUUGAAAAACUAAAUGAAAAAAAAAAAAAGAAGUUGAGUAAAAAAUACACAAUUCAUACAUUGAUAAAUAUAUAUAUAUAUAUAUAAAAGAUAUUUAGGUUAAGUAGAUUAUAUGUAUAUAAUAUAAGAAUGUAAUUAACAACAAUAUCUUAGUGCUGAGUGGAGCUCAAUCUGAACGUGAGAGUUCGACACCUAUACAAGCCACCAACGUGGCUGGGCUGCAUCCUUAACUAAAUUUGGGCACGUGGCUCAUGAUAUCAAACUUUUAUAAAAGCCAAAAACACGAGGAAAAAAAAAAAAGGCCUAACAUUUCGGUGAGGUUUUGAUAAACUUAUGGUUGGGAGAUCAAUGAAAUCGACUUCACAUCUUCUACAAAUGAAUAAAAUGUCACUAAUCAUUCGCCUUUCCGGAAACUUUGAGACAAUUUUUAAAAAUGAAAUAUGGAUUUUCACUAGUAAAAUAGUGUAGUGUGAGCUUAACUGAUGAAAUGCGUAUGGAUUUCUGUAAACAGCUCCUCUAGGGAUGAAAUUUUCUUUCUUUUGUGAAGUAUAAUUGCUUGAACGAACUGCUUCACGUAUUGCCGCUCGUGCACUUGCCAGACCACGUUCAAUUCUCUCCAAAGGACUCAUCUUUUCCUACAAGACACACAAAAAAAGAACAAUAAAAUCAAUCUAAGAAGAACAGCAGCAGUACUGGGUGCAAUUAAAGUUAUGGUAAGUCCACCCACCACAGUGGUAGUGGAAGUUGAGGGAACCCCAUGCGUGGAAACAUUUCCCAGAAACGAAGACGCUUCUGGGGUCUGGUGUUUGGUCUGUGAAUGAUUGGGAGUUGAAGAAGAAGAUGGAUGGAAGCGGAGAUCAGGGUUUUGAUUUAUGGGUGACAGAAAAAAGAUGGAAAGAAGAAGAAGAAAGAGAAGAACAGGAAAUACUAUAUAUGGUGUUGAACUCAAUGUUGCCAUAUAUAUUUCAAUUUUCUCUCUGUUCUGUCACUCCUCUUUGAAGGGUUGAAGGAGGUGGAGACACGUUCAGACAUGGAGUAAAACAAAAUUUAUGAAUGGUUUUUCCUUUGUUCGGUCCGUUACGCAUCCAGUGACGUACUCAUUUGGGCGGUCCAAUCUAAUGUCUGGAAUCAUUCCACCUUAUGUGAGUAUAACAUUAAGAAGCGUCACGGUCCCUUUUUUAGUUCUAUGACUCACCCAUAUACCACUCACUUGAUUAUGAAGAAGAAAUUAAAGAGUGUUCACCGUUUAGCAAGGCCAUUGCAAAAAUUAGGAUUUGUUUUGAUACAUUUUGGAAAAUUGUUUUCAAAAAAUAGUUUUGAAAUCGAUUUUUAAAAUAUUUCAUAUUUUUUUAAAAACACUUUAUUUUUUAAACUAGUUUUCAAAAAAUUGUUUUCUAUUUAAAAAAUUUGUGAAAAACAUAGAAUCUCUUCUUAUUAUAAUUAAAAUAAGAUUUUCCAUUAUCAUUGACUUCUGUAGAGCCUCCUUGACAAUUGUAUUGUGUAACUAAUUUGUAAUGAAAUCUUCCAUCUCAUAAUAAGUAAUAAUCACUAAACAUUACAAAUCCUAAAAAAUCCAAAGCAAUCCCAAAGUCUUAAAAUUAUAUUCUAAUUGUAAAUAUGUCUAAAAAUACAUGCAUUUACACACUAAAUAUACACUGAAAUGCUUGACAUUAAUUAGAGGGUACUUUUGUUGCAAGGCACUACUCGAAGGAUAUGUAAGUUUAAAUGAUAACUUUGGUAGUACAAGAUUGUUGUAAUUAAGUUACUUUCAAUCAUCGUUAAUUGGCCACUUUAUUCAAACAACAACAACAAUAGGUAUAUGAAACAAAUUCUAAUAAUUAGUGUGAAUUGAGUGUAUACCAGUUAGUGUUAGCAAUUAGAGAAAAGUGCUCUUUGUAGCCUGCAUCAAUAUUUUUGAGACCAAUACUUAAGAUUGAUUUGAUGUACUUAUAGAAUUUAUUAAUGUAAAAGAAAUACUCAAAUAGGGAAAUGAAGAGAGUUAGGAGAUAAUGUUGGAAUGGAAGAGAAUGAGAGAGGGAAAGUAUAUAAAAAAAAAAUUGUGAGAGGAAAUUAAUAUAAAAUUUUAAAUAAAAAACCUUGAUUAUUCUAAAGUUAAUACUUUUGAAAAGUUACUUUUUUUUUAAUGUGUUUUUUAAACUAUUAUCAAAGUUAUUUAUAUUCUUUUGAAAAUCACUUCUGACUACUCUCAAAUAUGUAUGUCAAAGUACGAUUUUGUAAGUAUAAGGAGUCGUUUGUAAUUUUAAAAUUAUGAUAAGUCAUGGUUAAACUACAAAGAUGUGAUCUUAGUUGUAUAAAGGAAAUGAAGAGGUUUAGAAGUUAAAUAAAAACUUUUUAGGCAAACCCUUUCACUCGAUAAAUGCUUGAAAAAAGAGGUUGAUGAUUUUUAUUUUUAUUUUUUCCGAAAACUAGAAGGGAGUACUAGGUGAACUUAAAUUGAAAUUUGAUUUAAUAAGAUAUGCAAAAAGUGUUGGAAUAAGGAGAGUCCCUUAGGCUCUCUUGUUUUUAUAAAAAGACCCUUAAUUAAGUUAACACCACCAAGAUUAUCUAUAAGUGUUUUCAACCAAAGAAUUUUCAAUACAAACACAUUUUGAUUAAACCUAAUGCUUCAAACUUAUGAGUUAACCAUGUGAAAUCUUUAAAAUCUUCUAGCAACCUAUUUGUUUGUCCUAUUGCAGCAUUAAAAGCUCAAUAAUAAACGUCUCAAGUCAAAAUGGCUUUCACCAUCAAGUGUUCGAGAUACCCUCAAAAGAGCUUGUAAACUUCAAUUUCCAAGCAUUUAGGCAUGAUAUAUAAAUCACUUGUGAUAUCCUUAAAACCUUUAUUACUUAUUAACUUGCUAAACUCAUAACAUUAAGGAUUCAAUAGUGACCAUCUCUAGUUAAAUAAUUCUCAAUUAUUAAGCACUUGAGAUACCCUCAAGGGGGCCUUUAAGCUCUAAUUUCUAAGUAUCAAAUAAUGGUUUUCUAAUUAAAAACAAAUGAUCCAACUCAUAAAAUGAAUAUAUCAUUAAAUGUCCAAGAUUUAGAGUCAUUUCAUGGGCACAAGGGAGGUCCUAAGGACUCCCAUCUCCUAAGCUUAAAUCACUACUCACAAAAUAUAAAAAUAGAAUGAAAAAUGAAGAACAUAAGUCAAGUAUAAGGAAAUCAUCAUUAAAAACUUGAGCUUCAACUUCAAUAUUGUACCAAACCAAAGCUUAAAAGUAAGUACAUCUAAAUAUACUCAAAGGAAAGAAGUUUGAGAGAUUACAAGCAACUAAAAGGCGCAAAACAAUAUAAAAAAUUGAAAUUUUAAUAGCAUGUCCCAAAGUUGGAGGUUGAUGAAGAAGUGCUCCCCACUAAAGGGCUUCCUCUAAAAUCCUCCUUCUCCAAUUGCAAAAUCUAUUUAGAGAUGAUCCCAUGUUGCCCUAAGUGGUAUACCACAUAGAGUCAUAAAAAAUAAAGUGUGAGAUCCAAUGGUGGCUUCAGAUAAGCCCAAAAAUGUAGGUCUCCCAUGUUCUUCGAGUUCUAGAACAAAAUGAUGACAGUUACAGAGAAAAUGGCACUAGGUUGUAAGGUGGACAUCUUCUACUCAAAUUGGCAGCGCCAUUAUGAAAAAAGACACCAAACUACAAGGUGGUUCCAUUUUUCUUCGAAUGCUCCUUAGCUCCUUCAACGUUUUUCUUAUUUUUCAUCAAUCUUUUAUAAUUUUUUUUUGUAUAUAUAGAUAGAAGACGUUGAAAUAUUCUUAAAAUUGGUAAGAUUGAUCUUCAAAGAGUAGAAAUUAGAAAAAAUUACUUGAAUUCAUUUGGGCAUUUUUAACCUCCUCAACUGUCCUCAAACUUUUGAUUGGUUGAAGGAGGAUGACACCAUUGAAUUUCAUGCAACUUUGAUCCUUUGACUCCACUCAUACUCCAGUAAUGCUCUUGCAUUCCAAAUAUUCCAAGAAGUUUCCAACAUCAUCAUUAUUCAUGAAAAUAUAUGUAAACAUAUCAAGAAGUAAUGAAAAAUAUGAUAAAACUAAGCAUAUGCAAGGUUUCUAUCAUAUUCAAAUAUAAAAAAAUUAUUCUCCUUUCCAUUUUUUUCUUGCUUAACUUUCUUCGUCUCUCCUUUACUUUUGGCCAACAAAAAUUGACAAAAAUAAAAAUUGAUAAUAGAAUCAUUAUCGGUUAAUUUAUAUAUAUAUAUAUAUAUAUGUAUAUAUAUACAUUCAUAAACUCAUGCUAAUAGUUAAUUUCAAGAAAUAGAAUUGUUCAUAGAAAACAAUAACUUGGGUGACAUUUGGAUACAAUUCCUUUUCCUUUUUUUUUUUUUUUUGUAACUUUUAGAAAUAGAAAAUACUCCUAUUAAAAGUAUAGGAACUUAUGUACAAAAAGUAAAAAAAAUUAUCUUAUAUUCUUAACAACUAUUUAACAGAAGUAAAAAUAUUUUACUUAAUUUCUUCAAUUUAAAAAAAUUUAUGAAGUGUUUUCAACAAUCCUUGUUUUUGUAUAAGGAUUCCUAUAGACUUUAAUAUGAUACUUUCUAUUCUUAAAUAAAAAAAUAAAAUAAUGUAUCCAAACAUCACCUUAUCAAACAAAAAAUAUGGAGCUAUCUUAGGAGGUAAUUGUGAGGAAAACUAUUAUCUAAAAUAUAUAUAUAUAUAUAUACAUUAUGACUACUGGGCUCCACUCAAGCACACCAGUUCCACACUCAAUACACUCAGAAUUUGGAAGAGAGCUACAAUAAAUUGCAAUGAAGAACAUUUCAAAACUAAUGAUAACUCCUCAGAACAAUUAUUCUCAAAUUAUAAAUUCAAAAUUUCACAAUUCAAUUAAGCCACUCCAGGAUACAUCAUGUAACAACAAAUUGAAGACAGAAGAAAAACAAUAUCAAGAUGGCAACCUAACAUUAAGGCGCCUCAGCCACACCGAAUGAAGAAUCAUAUGAAGCAUAUCGUAGGGCCUCGCCGGCCGGUUUAUCGCGAAAUGCCGCUGCACUUGCUUCACCCUCUUUUGCAUUUCCAAAUACGUCUCAGUCGGAACCGCUUUCAAAAUCUUCUUGAUUUCCGGUAUCUUAUCGGAAGUAAUAUAUAUGGAGAACUUGCUCCAAUCAAGAACAUCGCUGAACGGCAAGGAGUAGUGAUCGCAAAUUAUCAUAGGCACACAGCCGGCAGCGAUGGCUUCUACUAUUCUGGGGCUGGCGACUUCGUAUCCACUGGGACACAGGCAAAACUUGCUGUCCCCCAUUGAUUUACUAUAGUUUCGAUUACGGGGAAGGCGCUCAAAAACCUGGACUUCGUCAUCUUUCUCUUUCCAGUACUUGAACAAGACACUCCGUACGUAACCAUGAGCGCCCCCGGCGAAGAAGGCAAGGAUGGGACGCUUGUUGGGGGGCUGGUCGAGGUGGGGCGGACCGAGCUUGCCGCGGGGUAUGUUGAUUUCUGGGAUUGAGAUGUCUCUGAUGGGGUGGAACCUUUCGGAGGUGUUGGCAUUGCAGAGGGCUCUAAUGAAAUGCUUGUAGAGAUCAGGCUUUAGAGCUGAAACGUCUGGUGCCUGAGAUUUCAACAUAUAUGAUCUUAAGUCAAUUUAAAAUUUUUCUUUUCUUUUUCAUAUAAAUCUUAAUUAAAUUCGAAAGAAUUGCAAGGGAUCCCAAAAUAUUCAUCAUACGUAAUGGGGAAAAUGUAUAUACCCAAUCAUGACAAGAAACCAAGAAAUGGUCAGCCCCCUUGCUUCUAUUCCAAUAUGGAUAUUUAUCUGCUACAAAGUUGAUAUAGUCUGUGACCAAUCGUGGAAUCCAUUUACCAUGGUAAUGUGGAGGCUCGUAGAUAAAAUGAACUACUCUAGUUAAACUCAUGGGGAUGUAGAACGCAUUCGCCUCGUCGGGAUGACGAGCCAAAAAUUGGCUCUUUCCACUUUCUAUCUCAUCCAUGAAUUGCCCUUCGAUUGCAUAGAUGUCAUUUGAUGGUCCGUCAUGCAUUAGGGGUUGAUCUCCUUCUCGGUAUGCCCAUAUCUUGAAUCUUUUCUCCAUCUCUAUAUGACUCCUAUUAUAAAAUUGAAAAAAUUAAUUGUGAAAAUUGAUUUAAUUGAAUAAUAAUAAUAAUAAUAAUAAUAAUAAUAAUAGAUUGUUUUUGUUAAUAACAAUCUAUAGUAGCACUUUUUUUUAAAAAAAAAUUUAUUAGGGAGAACAUGUUGGUCUUUAGAUAUAAUAAUAAAAAAGUGUUUUUUAGUCUUACUUUACAUAAUAAAAUUAUAAUUUUUAGAAAAAAAAUACUUAUUAAGAACACGCGCAUGUUUUUUUUAUUUUUAUUUUGGAGAGAUAUAAACUAAGAAAGUAUAAUUUUUGGGAAAAAAAAAAUCUUACUAAAAGCCCAUUUGAAAAUGAUUUUAAAAGAGAUUCAAAGCAUUUUCUAAUAAUGGAAAGUGUUUUCUUACAAAAAUGUGGUGUUUAAUAAAUUUUUGAACACACUAAAAAUUUAAAGAAUCAGUUGAAGUGAUUACUUGACAAUUAAUACUACGAUUUUCUUUGAAAAUUCAUUCGAUCUUAUUCUAAUAAAAAACAUUAGAAAAUUAUUUGUUUUUAAGUUUAUACUCAAACACCAAGUAAGAAUGUGUUUGAUAGUAAUUUUAUGAAAUAUUUCUUAUAUUUCUAAUAUUUCAAAAGAUAAAAAUUUUCAAAUGUUAGAAAAGGUAAAAACACUUCCUAAAAUUACUAUAAAAUGCAUUCUAGAAGUGUGUUUGAUAAUAAUUUUAAAAAACAUUUUUAGUAUUUCUAACACUUAAAUAAUAAAAAUUUUUAAUUAUUAAAAAUGUUAGAAACACUUUCUAAAAUUAAAAAUACUUUCUAAAAUUAUUGUCAAAUAAUACUAAUUUAUUUUUAAAAGUGUUUAUAAUAAAAAUAUAAUUAAUAAGAACACUACACAUAAAAUCAUUUAUUUAUUGUUAAAAGCGAGCCUCAAUAAGUAGAAAGUAGUUAUAACUUUUCACUCGUCAUUUCACCCUAUAAAAAGGAGUUAUUUAAGUUGAUAAAUGAGAUUUAAAAAAAAAAAAAAAAAAGCAGAGAAAAAAAAGAGAUGGAUUUUAGUAAAUGUAAUUUUCAUUCAAUAAAAAGAACAUGCAUGUAAAGUAGGUGUAUUAUGAGACUAAGAGAAGUAUAUAAUUUCAUGAUGGCAAAAAUUGAUAAAGAAAAUAUGAUAUUUAAUUAACUAAUAGAAUGUAAUUAUUAUUUUGUCGUACUGUUUUAUUUAUUUUUAUUUUAAAAAAAUAUUACUAGCUAUUAUUAAAAUGUAAAAAUCUUGUAGAAAAAUAGAAUUUACUUUCUUUUCUUGCACAUUAGUAAAAUUUUAAAAAUUUGAGAUAAUAAAAAAAUUUUAGUGCUUAUAUUUUUUAAACUGUUUUAAAAAUUAUUAUUUUUUAAAGUAAAUGUCUAUUAUUUUGUAAAUGUUUUUUAUAAAAACAAAAACUAGUAUAGGUUGUUAAUUAACCUAAAUCAUUUUGACAUAAGCAAAGGUGAUAUGUGACUUCUUAAUAAUAGUACUAAUAAUAAUAAAUAAAUAAAUAAAAAUAUGAUUACCUACAAUAAAUACCUAAUAUGCAAAAAAAAAAAAAAAACAAAAUGUCACUAAAACUAAUCAAGUUGUUGGAAUGGACUGAAAAUUACAUAGAUAUUAACACAAAAAAAAAUGGAAAAGAAAAGAACAUGAAAUACAGAUUCCAUAGUGCAUUAAGUGAUUAGCCAACAAACAAUCCAAUAUUAUGAAUAAACUGAAUCACCUUCUUGACCUUUGAAAGCCUCAUGUCUUCCUAUGAGAUUUUUCAAUACCAUUACUUGAUUAGGACAAUCUUCUUAAGUCUUUUUGCAAGCAUUCUCCCACCAUUAACAUCAAAAAAUUAUCAGUCUAUGCUAUAAGAAAUAACUUAUUUGAAAUUCUAAAAAGUAAAAAUAAGAAAAAUAAUACUUUCUCUUAAAGUUACUUGUAUUCAAAUGGUAAAAUAUAACCAAAAAUAUGUUAUUUCACACACAUGAAAUGUUACCUGCACUCUAGGGAUCGACCAUGAACUGCAACUAUCAGCAAAGUUUAAUUCUUCAUAAUUACAUUAAGAAUGAAAACGAUAUGAAUUUGUUCCUACUUAGUUUCAAUCAUAUUCAAUGGACCAAUUUAAUCCAAAUCCAAAAUUAAACUUACUAUAAAUUCAAUACAUGGAAGUGUGUCCUAGAAAUCAUAUAUAGAAAAGACGUGGAAUUGUACUCUACACCAAUUUAUCAUAGCACCAUCAAUGAGGCGUGUGGAAAAAAAAAAUGAAAAUGAAGAGGAUCCUUAUUAUUGUUACUGAUAUAAAUGGUAGGCCACGUCACAAUUAUUAAGAAUAUUCAUAAAUUAUUUUAAGAUUUCUUCCAAUGUUGCCAAGGUUUUGGCUUUUCUCAAUUUGCAUGCACACAAUUGACUCAACAUAUAUAAGUAACAGCUGUAUAUACCCUCUACGAAUUAUACAAGACUUUUUAGUUUAAAUAUUUUUAUUGGUUUUUUUUAAUUAAAUUUGGUAAAUAAAUAAUUUAAAUUUUGAUAAAAAAAAAUUACAUUACAAGCCAUCAGAAAGAAACACCCUUUUAUGGGUUAAUGAAACAAAGAUUGAACUGUUCUUAGACUAGGUAGGUAGGAUCAUCAAUUUGAGACUUUCUAGAUGUCUCCUUUUGUCAAAAUAAUGUUUCAAAAUUUUAAAUAAAUAAAGUGGAGGUUAAUAUUUUAUCAUCGAUUUUUUUUUUAUUUCUUAUUUGAUAGAAGAAAAUGAAAGGCAUUCCAAAUUGAUAAUUGUAAAAGUGUUAUUAGAAAUGUUUUCAUGGACAAUUUAAUGAGUAUUUAAAUAUAAAUUCAAUUGGUGUACUUUUUUUUGUGAAAAGAAAAAAAAAAUUGGAAGAAACAUUUAAUGAAUACCAAUAAAAAAAGAUACUUUAAAAGAUUUAUUUAUUUAAAUUUUUUCAAAUACUCAAUUUUUAUUAGGAAAAUAUAUUUAAAUAUUAAUUAACAGGGCAGAUCUAAUGCAUGCCAAAAGAAGCAUAUGCCCCUUUAAUUAUUAUUUUUUUAAAUUAUCAUUAGAUUAUAAAUGCUUUUUGUUCAUUUUUGCCCCGCCAAAAUCAAGAGUUAGAUGUUGCCCACUGUUAAGUCAUUUGCUGGUUUGGUCACUGGUAGCUAAGGUUUCUAAAUCUUCAAGAUGGCUCCUAAAAUGUACUUUUUACUUCAAUUGUCCUUUUUAUUGUUAUGUUUAAUUUUAAAAUCAUAAUAUCAUAUGAAACUACAAUCAAACUAAGAUAAGUUUCUAAAUCAUAUAAUAGAAGCAUUUUUUAUUUAUUUAAUUAUUUCUUAAUAAAUUUUGAAUUAUGAGCCGAAUCUAAGAAUAUAAGUUAGGGAUAGUUUCUUCUUCAAACAUGCAUUACGAAAUGCCACAUUGCUUUGUCAACAAAAUCAUGGUUUUUCAACAUCAUAUUCUACUUACAAAAAUCUUUCAAGAUGUAAGGUUCCUAUUUAAUCAAAUUUUCCUGCAUAAUGAAGCCACCAAAGAGAUUAAUCCAAAGAUUAAUAACUAAAUAAAGAUGAUGCAUGUCUCUAGUUUAGAAAUUAAAUUGUUCUUCCUCGAUAGAAUGAAUUAGCUUUGAACUUAACUGAUGAAAUGCAUACGGAUUUCUGUAGACGUCUCCUCUUGGGAUGAAGGUUUCUUCCUUUUCUGAAGAAUAAUUCCUCCUCUGAAUCGCCCUGCGUAUUGCCUCUCGGGCUCUCGCCAGACCUUCUUCAAUCCUCUCCACAUGACUCAUUUUCUCCUAUAAAAUUGCACCCAAAAAAGAAAAGAAAAGAAAAGGAAAAACAAACGGUUAAUGAACGAAAUUGUUAUUAAGCUUCAAACCAAACAGAAAUCAUUGCUGAAGUGGUAGAUUAUCACGCACUCUGAAACGCUUCCUAAUCUCGUUAGUUGCACUGGCUCCAUCAGUGGAAGUUGAGGGAACCCCAUCUGCAGAAUCAUUUUUCGGCAACAGAGAUGGGGACGAUGAGGUUUGAAGGGUUUGGUGAGUUGUCUCUGAAAGGUUUGAAUCCGUAGGGAGCAAAUGGCGGAGGAUGUUUUGGUUUCGAUUUAUGGGUGACAGGUACAAAGGGAUGAGAACAAUGAGGAAGAGAAUAGCUGGAAAUAUUACGAACCGUGUGGGACUCGAUGUUGCCAUGGCUUCUUCACUUUUUCUGUCUUCUUCUCCACUCACUUUCGUGAAAGGGUAUGAGCGAUAGAUAUGGUUAUGAUACAGACAUAGAGCAUAGAAUGGAACCAAAUAUCUGUAGGUUUUUUUAUUCUGGUUCAUCACGCACUCUUGCUGCUAUUGUCCAAAUUCUAUAUGCGGGACUUACCUUUAGAGUAAUGCUGUCCAAAUUAUAUGAGUGGGAACCACCUUUUGAUGACUUGUCAAAUGGCAGACCAUCUGGUAAACAACAAAAGAAAAUCAUGAUUCUUAAUUAAAAAUAGAAAGACUGUAGGAAGGCUGACCAAGGCCAACAUGAAGGCAGCCUAAGAUUAAAUACAAGGGCUCUUUUCAAAUUAGGUUUGCUUGUAAGAGUUUUGUAAGGGUCUAACAUAAGACUCAAAAUAUUAGUAUCUUUGUUUUGGUUAAUUAUCUUGUAGAAUUUAAUUCCUUUUUUGUACUUUUCAUAACUUGUAGAGAAAUUUCUUCUUGUGUUUAAUUCAAAUUUAUUACAUUCAAAUUGUGGUUUGAAAUUGUCUUUGAACACAUUUUUAGUUAAAAGCAAAAUAUUGUCUCAAAGAAUGAUGACGAAGAUGGAAAGCUUAAUGGGUAUAGUAGAGAGAUAUGUAAAGCUUUCCAAAUUUGAGAUUGAUCAUAUGAAUGGUUGAAAGUGCCUUCUUUAUCAAUAGAAUUAGCUAGAGGUUGAAUGAUAAUACAAUACUUCAAUAUCAAAAUUUAAAUUUAUUCCUAUGCUCCUUCUAUUUUAACAAUAAUUGGGAAUAUGGCAAUAAUCAAUUCACAUGAGGUAUACAUGAUGAAAAAAUUACCUAUAUAUUUGAAUUUUCAAGAAAUUUUGUAGAUAUAAAAUCAUAGGUCAAUUAAUCAUCGGAGAUAAAAUUUACUAAAUAUUAGCAUAAUGUAAAUACUCUUAUAUGAUUUGCAUGCACCUACACUUAAAAGGGCUUUUACAAAUCAAUAUUUAUACUCUUUUUUCACAUUUCUAAUGUAACAUCUCCUACUUCUUAAUGGAUCACGUCAUUUUCGUGUUAAGGUUGUGAAUCAAUAUAGCACAUGUAUUUCCACUUAAAGGACUUUCAUGACAAAUACUUGAAAACUUUCAAAGUUUAGUGUUUAAAAGUAGAACAGUAGUUAUAUCCUCAAUUUGUGCAUCUCAUAGUUAAGACCACGGAAUAUUAUUUAUAGAAAAAUCCUAAAUGAUUUAUUCAAAGUAUAUAUAGAAGGUACGAUAUUAUUAAGAAGGACCAUUUAAACUAUUAAAAAAAAAAUUAACUUCUAUACAAGUUUGCCAAGCACUCAAACCACUCAUAGAGAGACUUUUAAAUGCCUUUUAAGGUAGUGUUAAAUGCCUUUUUACUUAGAGUUUUAAUUACUUUCCAGUUUUAAUAGCCCUUGCAAUGUAAUAAUACUCCAAACAUGCACUUACCCCAAUUGAAAUCAAUGUCUGAAUAACUUGAUCAUGAUCAUAAAGACCUAAGAAACUAAUUAGCGCUAGAAUCAAUAUUUAAAUAUAAUAAAAUUGUCAACCUAGUUUGAAGCACUAAUAGUUCAUCUAUUUGAUAAUUUUAUAACAAAAUAUAGAUUGUAAUGAACCCUCUCAAACUCUUAAAAUAAUGUUUACUACUGCCACAUGGAAUAGAAUCUUAAUCAUAAUAUGCAUUCCCUUCCCUCCUCGCUUAUUUUCAUAAAAACGAAAAAUUAUUCCAUUUUUGUGAAUCUUUCUUAGCACACUACCUAUGACCUAAACACACUCAAACAAAGCUAGGAAAAUUAGUGUAUGAAAAGCAUGUAAAAAAAAUGACUAGUGAACUUUUUUAUUUUUUAUUUUUUGUCACAAAACUAUUAAAGUAGAAAAUGUAGCUAAAAAAUAAUAAGCAUCGAGAAGCAGGAAGACAAAUAUAACCAAUAAUGAGACACAAGCAUCAUCAAAUAAACAUCAUUGAUCAUAUCUAGAAUUGUAAAGGCAUAACUAUGUCAUCCAAUAUAUAAUUAAAAGAGUAUUUGAACACAAUCCGUGAUAUCUAAAAGGAAUAGUCAAAUACAUCCAAAAAGAAGACAACUCAAUCCUAACCAAAUAUACUAAGGCUAUAUUUGGUUCCCGGAAAAUGCGAGAGAAAGAAAAUUGGAAGGAAAAAUGGAAGGAAAGAAAAAGGUAAGGAAAGUAAUAUAAAUUUUUUCACUUGUUUGGUUAUCCAUGAAAAAUUCAAGGGAAAAAAAUUUAUUUUCUUUUGUUUGGUUAACUAUGAAAAAUAAGUCAAGAAAAAAUGAAAGGAAAAUAAAUUCAAUAAUUUGUUUAAGAUGAUUAUCAAUUUAUAGAAUAAUAAAAUAAAUUUCAUAUUCGUAUUUUCUAAAAAUCAGAGGAAGACCCAAUUUUCCAAUCUUCCAAGAUGGAUUCUAGAUGGACCAAAUCGAAGAUCCUUCACAAUUGAAGGGUCUCAAAUAAAGCAAAGCACCAAGCCUGGGAGAGCUGGACGCCGCGGACGACGGGGAGGGGGAUGAAGCGGUAGAGGAGGGACAUGAGGCUGGUGGCGCCGAAGAUGAAGAGGGUGGCGGCAGUGGAGAGACUCGCGACAGCGAUUUGGGGGAGGGAGAGGAGGGGGUCAGAGAUGGCGACGACAGCGAUGGACUUCAUGGGUUGGAUAGGCAUUGGGAUGCUGAAGAGAAAGCCGGUGGAGAUGUUGUAGAGAGCCGUGAAGAUGAGGGUUGUGGAGAGGUCCAGAUGGUUGACCAGUGUGAGAGUUAGGACGAUGGGUAUGUAGGUGCCCAGGUCGCCCACAGAGCCCCCGAGCUCGACGGAGAGAGUGGUUUUGAGACGGAAGGAGCUGAACCACCACCGGCUGGGGCGGAUGAGAGUGGUGGUGGAAGGUGUGUCGUCGGCCAUGAAGGCAGCACAGUCAAAGGACUGAGUUUGUGAAUUCAGUUUUGCGGUGAGAGAGACAGACGAGGGCCGGAGGGGGCAUAGCAACCGGUGAAGAGCCCGAUAAAUUUUCCUUCCUCUUUUUCUCUUAUUUUCCUCGUUAUCUUUUAAGGAAAAUAGUAAGAAAAAUAUUAUGAUAUUUUCCAUCAUAUUUUCCUUUAUAUUUUUUUUCCAUCAUAUUUUCCAUGUAAUCCAAACUAAAGAAAAUGAUUUUCCACAUGAUUUUUUUUCCUUUCCUUAGCAUUUUCCAGGAACCAAACAUAGCCUAAUAGUCCAUAUUCAAGAGUGGGAAAUAUAUGCAAGCUUAGACCAAAUUGAGAAGUAGCCUAAAUUUAGGGAAAAAUUAAAAUUUCGUACUACAAGAAAACAUGCUUUUCCUAGUGAAAAUUUAGGAACAAAAUAAAUUUUUGUCACUAAAAAUAAUUUUUCUAAUAAAAUUCCAAAUAUUGUCACUAACACCAAAUUUUUGACAAAUUUUCAUGAUGAAAUUGAAAUUUCUCCUGCCAAAAUAAGUGGCAGAAAAUUUAGAUUUUUUUUCUCUUUUGUAUAAACAGAGUUAUGAUGAUUUAAUAAACUUAAUCCUACCACAAGUAAGAAUCAAUCUAAAGAAAAUAGUUAGGAUGUUAUCAAAGAGUUGGGUGCACUAAAGGAUUUGUAAGUGAAAGAAUUAAUGCACUUGAGUAGAGAGCUUUGCAUGAGAGAAAAUAAAUGGUAACAAAUAAACGCAAGUGUUCUCUUGGUCAAUAAAUGUAUAAGAACUCUCUAAUUUAUAGAAAAACUUCUCAGGCACCCAAAAUUUAGCAAAAAGUGCUAAAUUGGUUGAGCUUCAAUUCAAUCGAUUGGAUAGUAAUUGGGGCAUUUAAUGCUCUAUAGGCAACCAUUGGUGAGAUUUAGCUUUGAUCGAUUAAACACUAGAUAUUGGAAAAGAAAAGAUUUUUUAACAACUUUGCUUAGUCUGAUUCAUGCCUAAUUGGUGUCUCAGCUGAUUCGUGUCCAGCUGGUGCUCCUUGAUUGAGGGAGUAAUCAACAAAAUUUAUAACCUAUAACACCAUAUACUAGGGUAGCAAAGAAAAAGCUACUAUAGUAUAGUGGCUCUAGGAUCGUUCACUGGGAAGGAUUAGCAAGCUAUCAAUGAUACCAAUUCAAAGUGAAUUGAGCUUGUUUCAUUUCAAGGUUAGCUUAAGAAAUAAAACAUAAACUUUGAUUGGUAAAGAUUUAGACUUAAACUAGCUAACACAAUAAGUAAUGGGAAAAACUUAGGAAGACAAACAUUCCUUGGAGAGUUAGGUUUACUGGGGUGGUUCCUCGUGCAAAAGACAUAGUUCCGGUCAGAUGGUUCAUUUCCUCGCGUUAGAGAUUCAACAUAUAGUCAAUUCUUUAACCGGUGUUGUACAGAUACAUCCUUCAAUUAGAUUUCACUUUAAUUCUCUCAUUGAUGCAACUUGCAAUGGUUUAAGCCUCUCACUAAGCCUUAACCAUUCAAGGUGAUCUUUAACCUUGGAUUACCCGUCAAAAGCUCGCAAGAGAUAACUAAUGGAUGUCUCCUUGGAGUCUAAAAGCUUAGCAAGUGUUGGCUAUUCUAGAAAAUCCUACCCUAAAGUCACCUCCUAGAGGCUCGCAAGGGGUAAACUAGUGCAUUUCCACGGUUGGAAAUCACUUGCCUUACCAAGUGUUGGCCCAGGUGACUCUAAGGUGUUUUAAGUUAACUAAAAACAUAGAAAUCACUAAAGGAUUUCACUUCCUCUUCAUUACUUGCUAAAACCACAAAGCUUUGCAUUCUUGCACUUGGAACCUUCCCCAGCAACCUUAGCUCCAAGGAACUAGAGGUUUAGUUACUCAUCCUCUGGGGAAAACUCCUCAGAGAGUUCAUAACUUAGUAAGAAAUAAAUAAUACAAAGUGAGAAGGUAAGGCAAAACAAAGGCCUGAACUUUACUUGCUUUCCCAAAACUUUACAAAGGAUCCCCCCUUGAGAACAGGCUCCCGAGAGGUAUUUAUAUGAACAUAAUAUAAAACUAAUUAUUACAUAGAUAUUUUCUCUUUUUACUAACUUAAAAGCUAAGGAAACUUGUAAUUGGUGGCUUACAAGGAGUAUUUUGGGAUUUUGACAACAAAAAUCUGAUGUAAAAUAUCUCCCAAUGUCGGUAGCAAAUAUCGGGAUGCUCCAGGAACCAUUUCGCAAGAGAAAAUGGUGUCUGCGAGAUUUCGCAGACACUCAAGAAGGGCUGCGAAAUCACUUCGCAGCAAAAGGCCAUUCUCGCAGGGCUGCGAAGUUGGCUUCCACCUUGAGGUUCCCAGCUUCCUCCUUGCGGCAUAUAUCGGGCAACUUCAGAAGGAAAUACACCCUAUUGUACAAAAAGGCUGCGAAAUCACUUCGCAACAAAAGGGUGAUUUCGCAACACUUUGCAAAAUGCUUCCUUCAGCUUGGAGUGAUUGGCUUGCAAUGACUACAACUUCUUCGUUUCAACUCCGAAUUGCACACCGUUUGAAGCAUUGGAUUGUUGACUUCCUGAGCUUCGAAACGACAUAUAGCAUGCAUAAAUUGGACUUCAAGAAGUGCUCCAAAAGUGGCUGCCAUGACUGUCAUCAAGAAUAUGCUUCAUGGCAGAUUCUCUUUACUUUUUCUCAUUGCAUUCCGGAUUUACUCUUGGCAAAUGACUUCCAAGCUUUUCCCAAGAUUCCUCAUAACUCUCCUCAAUCUUGAAUUGCUUUGGUGAUCAAAUUACUAACAAAAACAUCAAAACUUACACAAAGUGAUUAAAAUUGCUUUCAAGGGUCCUUAACAUGCCAAUUGAGUUAAAAGGCCAAAACUACUACUCAAAAGUGUUUAAAAGGAUUAAUUAUAAGCUAUCAAAUAGCACUUUUUGAGUAGUAAUCAUAGUCCUCAUCAAUUGAGAAAGCUUAGGCGAUUGAACCGGUUCCUUAAUUGAUUCUAUCAGUUCAAGCCACCCUUGAUUGGUUAAGCAAAAACUAGCUCAAAAAGCUUCUCAUUUUAGCUCUAAUAUUCCAAUAACUUGAACAUUUCAUUUAAAAACCUUUAUAGGAAAUUUUUAAAAGAAUUUAGCCUAAGGUUUUGAGGUAAAAUGCGUAUUCAUCCAUUUUUAAGAAAUUAAGAUCAUUCUUAAACUAUCAAGGUAUGAAUGAAUGCAUUCGAAAGUGCAUGAGAAAUCAAUUUUAUACUAAGCGUACCUAUGAGACUCAUUUUACAUUGGUUCCUAGACAUCUUGAGUCUUCAAGGAUCCAUCUCUUUAUAAUGUUUAAAUUUCUUAUGAACAAUCUUAAGCUUUCUUCUGAAUUUAUCAAUAAAACCUAAAAUUUUAUUUGAUUUAAACAAGUUAGUACACUUAUCCUUGUUUUCUUAUCAUCAAAAUGUAUUUUGGAGAAUCCUUAGGCUAACAUCAAUUUUGAUUUUAAUGUUAAUUUUAGUAAUUUUAAUUAUAGUUUUAGUUGUUAACUUGAAUGUUAGUCUUAGUUUUGACUUUAAUUUUAAUUUUAUUUUUGAACUAAAUUCCAAUCCUCAUCUUAGUCUUAAUUUUAAUUUCAAUUUUGAAAUCAAUUUUAGUUUUGAAUUUAAUUUUUAUUUUUAUUUUAAUCUUCAUUUUAAUUUUAAUCUUAAUUUUAAUUUAAUCUUAAUUUUAAUUUUAAUCUUAUAAUUUUGAUCUUGAUUUUGAUUUUAAUUUUAAUCUUAGAAAUGAAAAGAAAAUUUGUUUUUUAUGAUUAAAAUUCAAAUUGGAGAACAAAAGUUUGAAGAAAACCAACAAAGGAAAAAUUUAGUUUAAUCUUAAUUUUAUUUUUAAUGUUCAUUUUAGUAAUUUUAAUAUGGUUUUAAUCUUUAACUUUAAUUUUUGUCUUAAUUUGGGUGACAUCACAUAUCGGAUAUGGGAGAAAGUUCCUGACGCUAUAUAUGUAGAGGCUCCUCUUAACCUUAUAGAUUUGUUUUAAAGUCGUGAAAGUUCAUUUGGGUCCAGAGUGAACAAUAUCUACAUGGUUGGGUGCGGGUCAUUACAAAUGGUAUCAAAACCGAUCCCUAACCCCGAUGUGGGAGUUUGUUUGGUACCAUAGGGGGUGUUUGUUUGUUUCACCCCAUAAUCUUGUAUGACACAACAAGGAUGUUAUGUUUGCAUAGGGGAGAAAGUUUCUGAUGCUAUAUAUAUAGAAACUCAUCUUAACUUUGUAGAUGCGUUUUAAAGUCGUGAGGGCCCCCUUGGGUUUAAAACGGACAAUAUCUACAUGGUUGGGUGUGGGUCAUUACAAAUCGUAUCAAAGUCAAUCCCCAACUCUAAUGUGGGGGUUUGUUUGGCCCCAUAUGAGGUGUUUGUCUGUUUGACUUCACAAUCCUAUGGAACACAACGAGGACGUUGUGUCUACAUAGAGGGUGGUUUGUGACAUCCCACAUUGGAUAGGGGGGAAAGUUUUUGGCGCUAUAUAUGUAUGGACUCUUUUAACACUGUAAACGUGUUUUAAAACCGUAAGGGCCCCUUUGGGUCUAAAGUGGACAAUAUUUACAUGGUUUGGUGCGGGUCAUUAUAAAUCGUAUCAGAGCCGAUUUCCAACCCUAAUGUGAGAGUUUGUUUGGUCCUAUAGGAGGUGUUUGUUUGUUUGUUUGGCCCCAUAAUCCUGUAAGACACAACGAGGACGUUAUGUCUGCAUGAGGGGUGUUUAUGACAUCUCACAUCGAAUAGGGGAGAAAGUUCCUAGUGCUAUAUAUGUAGAGACUCAUUUUAACUCUAUAGACACAUUUUAAAGCCAUGAGAACCCCCUUGGGUCCAGAGCAGACAAUAUCUACAUGAUUAGGUUGUUACAAAUAGUAUUAGAGUCGAUCUCUGACCCCACUGUGGGGGUUUGUUUAGCCCGUAAGGGGUGUUUGUCUGUUUGGCCCAGCAAUCCUAUGGGACACAACAAGGAUGUUGUGUUUGUAUGAGGAAAUGUUUGUGACAUCCCACAUCGGAUAGAGGAGAAAGUUCUUGACGCUAUAUAUAUUCCUCUUAACCUUGUAGAUGUAUUUUAAAGUUGUGAGGGUCAUUUGGGUCUAGAGUAGACAAUAACUACAUGGUUGGGUGCGGGUCGUUACAAAUGAUAUCAGAGCCGAUCCUCAACCUCAAUGUGGGAGUUUGUUUGGUCCCGUAGGGGGUGUUUGUUUGUUUGGUCUAAUAAUCACAUGGAACACAACGAGGAAAUUAUGUCUUUAUGGGAGGGAGUGUUUAUGGCAUCCCACACUGGAUAUGGGAGAAAGUUCUUAGCGCUAUAUAUAUAGAGGUUUUUCUUAACUCUGCAGACGCAUUUUAAAGCUGUGAAAGCCCUAUUGGGUUAAGAACGGACAAUAUCUACAUGGUUAGGUGUGGGUUGUUACAAAUAGUAUCAAAGUCAAUCUCUGACUAUGAUGUGGGGGUUUGUUUCACUCCUUAUGAGGUGUUUGUCUGUUUAACUCCGCAAUCCCAUGGAAUACAAUGAGGACAUUAUGCAUACAUGGUGGUGGUUUGUGACAUCCCACAUCAAAUAGGGGAGAAAGUUUUUGGCACUACAUAUGUAUGGACUCUCCUCUUAAGUAAGUAGACGUAUUUUAAAGUUGUGAGGGCUCAUUUGGGUCCAGAGCGAACAAUAUCUAUACGGUUGGGUGCGAGUUGUUACAAAUGGUAUCAGUGCCAAUCCUUGACCACGGUGUAGGGGUUUGUUUGGUUCUGUAAUCUUAUGGGACACAACAAAGACGUUGUGAUUGCAUGAGAGAGAGAGAGAGAGAGAGAGAGAGGUUUGUGACAUCCCACAUUGAUUACUACUCAAAAAGUACUCUUUUAUAGCUUGAAACUAAUUGUUUUAAACACUUUUGAGUAGUAGUUAAUACAUUUUAACUCAAUUGGCACAUUAUGGAACCUAGCAAGGGUUACUAAUCAGUUUUUAGCAAGUUUUGGUGUUUUUGGUAGCUAUUUGAUCAUUGAAACAAGCCAAGAAUGAGGGAGAAUUUUGUGAAAUCCAUGGCAAUGCAAGUUGAAGCUCAAAUACAUGAAGAAUCCGAGCUUUGGAGCACUUCAUAGCCCUUUGCCAAGACAAUCAGAGAUGCAAGAAAGAAAACCAGAUGAAGUAAUCCAACAACCGGCAUUUUCGCAUGGCUAUGCGAAAAUUUCGCAUAGCAUGCGAAAAUUUAGAGGAGGAGCAGUUGCAGGACUGAGUGAAGGACAAAUUUUGCAUACCCUGUGAAACCAUAAGAGGCAGCCAAAGAAUUUCGUACACUAUGCGAAAUUUCGCAUGGUAUGCGAAAUCUUCUUGUGCACCAACUCCGUUAGAUUUUUAUUUCUAAAUAUUUGGUGUAAUUUCCUAUUUUCUCCUUAUAAUCAACCUAGAUAUUUUCUUUUAUAUCUUUUUAUAUUUUUUUGGUAACAUCUUAGAUAGACACAGAGGGAGACACACAGAUGGAUGGAGAUUCAUUGAACACUUGUAAAUUCCCGUAGUAAGAAAUAUACAGAACUUUUGCUCUGUCUUUCCUUCUCAUUUUAUUUUCACUUUUCUUUUUAGCCAAACAACCUCUGAGGAUGAUUUCUCAAGGGAUGAGUGGCUAGGUUUUAUGUUUCUUGGAGUGAUAGAAGCUAGGUGAAGGACCCGAAUGCAAAGGUGAGAGUUGUCCUUGCUUUAAAUGAAAGUAGUUGUUAACCAUUAGUGGUUUUUAUUUCAAGGUUUAGCUUUAAAUCCCUUAAAAUCACCUUGAAUGACCAAUACUUGGUAAGCUUUUCGGAUUCUAUGGAUGCUUAUUGCUAGAUCCAUGGAUGUCCAUUAGUUAUCAUUUACGAGACAUUGGAAGGUGGUUCAAGGUGAGAAUCACCUUGAAUGGCCAAUACUUGGUAAGCUUUUCGGAUUCUAUAGAUGUUUAUUGCUAGAUCCAUGGAUGUCCAUUAGUUAUCAUUUACAAGCCAUUGGAAGGUGGUUUAAGGUGAGGGUCUUUAGUGUUUAAAGCCAUUAAUGGGAAACAAUUACCAUUUUUCAUGAACCUUUUGGAUCAAAUCUUAAUUGCUAAAUACAAAACCGGUUCGGGAAAUAACCAUCUUUUAUGUUAUUGUCCCCAACGCAAGGAGAAGAUCCGGAAUCUCCCCCUUUGCCUAAAGAACCCGAUCCUAGUGACCUAAAGCUCCAAGAGACUUUUUCUUUGUAGUUAACUUCACUUAUUAUUUUUGCUUAACUUAAAAUCAAUCUUUGCAACCACAAUUCCAUUUUCUUUAAAAGCUAAUUUUCAUAAGGAAAAACACCAUUUUAUUUCCUUCACUAGAGUCAACUGUACGAUGAAAACCCAUCCCUGUGGACGAUCCUAGAGCCACUAUACUAUGUUAGCUAUGCUACCUUAGUGUAAGGUGAUUUAGGCUUUAUAAAUUUUGUUGAUAACACCCAUCUAGGCCAAAAUCAAAUGGCACGACUGUAAUGGGGACGAAUCACACAUUGACAAAUUUUAACGACAAAUUGGUCAUGUAAUGGUUUGAAAAAUGUCUAUGAAAUAUAUGAGAUCAUGCUAAAAUUUUGAUAUGAAAUUUAGUUUACUAAAUUAUUAUGUUUGAAUUUUUUUUAUUUCUUGUUUUGUUUUAUUUUUUUAUUUUCUCAUUUUUGGCAUUUCCCUUAUGGGGCUAUGGAUUUGCUAGAUCCUAAGACUAGUAAAGUCUUUAAGGUUAAUGGCGAUAGGGUUAAGCCAUUUGUGGAGGGAAUCAAUGAAGUUGGGGAUCAAAUCCCCUUUCAAAUUAAUGUUGCUCACUAGCCCAAAUGAGUUCUUCUUCAUUUUGUACAUAGUUGGAGCUUUCAGGGAGUGUGUGCGUUCAUUUCUUUUGGUGUUAUUAUUUAUUUUUCUUUAUUUAGGUGGGUUGCUUCAUAAUUUUAAUCUCAAAUGGUGCAAAACAUAUGUUCUUCUGAUGGAAAGAAUGGGAGAUGGCAGGUGCUAGUUUGCUGUGGAUUCGAAGUCUUUCGAGAUUUUGAUCAACAUUGUUGGAGGGGGAGCUUCGUGGUAUCAUCUUGGAGAAAAGUAGAGGCUUCUCCACUUGGAUAAGGUUUGACGAUUCUAGUUUGAGGUGUUUUCUGGAGGGAGUGGAAGUUUGCUGUAGGGAGGAGAGGCUUGGGAAAGUUGUAAAAAAUUGGGAAAAUGAGAGAAAGAGAUUUAGAUUGAAAAAAUGUGCUAACGAGGUGGGGAGGUACAUUCUUUGCUAUGGUCGUAAUUUGGAAGCAAAGAGGUUCUGUUUGGUAUUUCUGGAUGGUAGAAGGAUUCUAGAAGGGUGGGUUUUGCUAGUUGACAAGCUNNNNNNNNNNNNNNNNNNNNNNNNNNNNNNNNNNNNNNNNNNNNNNNNNNNNNNNNNNNNNNNNNNNNNNNNNNNNNNNNNNNNNNNNNNNNNNNNNNNNGGGGGGGGGGGGUGAGUUUUUGGAAUUUGGGAGGUGACUUCUUUCUUACAGAAUUUGAGGUUGUAGAGGAAGCUGAAAGAGUGCUACGAAGAGGGAUUCGACAUUUUAAGGAUAAGACGUUUCAUCUAGAGAGGUAGGGACCCGAGGUAGGUUGUUUUUGCCCGGAGUUCAUGCAAAUCACUAUUGGGUGAGGGCGGUGGGGCUUCCUCUAAAUUUAUAAAACUAGAAGGUGUUCAGGAAAUUGGAGGAUAGUCGCGAAGGGUUGAUUGCUGUGGAUGAUGACACGUCUAAAUUUGUGCAGCUUCAGUGAGCUAGGCAUUUGUGAGGACGUAAGGGAAGAUUUACUUGGGUCGUUACAUUUGGUGGUGGGUUCCUUAUGUUUUGCAAUCUAGCUAUUGUGGGAAGUGCCACCUUGGGUGUCAGUGGUGGUGCCGACGCAAGGGAAGGAGUGGUCGAAUGUUAGAAAUGAAAGAGGUUUGGAUUCACACGUUUGGAGCAGCGUGGGGCCAUCGUGGGUGCAAGGGCAGACUCUAAGGGAUGGAGUAGUAGGGCCAGUUGGUGAAGGUAGAGCUUAGCAGAUGGGAGUUAUUUCUAAUCAGUAUGGCAUGAGUAUGGUCGAGGGUGCCGAGGUAGGUGUAGGAAAUGAUGGGAAUGGGAAGGGGAAGGGGAAUGAGAAAAGAGUAGUUGAGGUUACUAGUGUUAGUUCAUAUGAUGGAGUGAGAUUAAAGGGGAAAGGAAGUUGGCCUAGAGUGCUUUGGGUCGAGUCGGACAAGGUGAGAAACAACGAGCUUUUGAGAGCCCAGGAUUCCUGUCAGCGGGUUGUUGUUAAGUUUGGGCCUGUAGUCCAUGAGGUUCUUAGGAUGGACUUUUCUUUGGGGAUAUUAGGAGCCGUUGGGCUUGGGGACUCAAGCCAGUCCAACUUUCCAACUAUUAGUCAAGAGGGUCUAGCCUAGAUGACUGUUACUGGAAGAUUAAAUAGGGUUAGGGCUCCUAUUGUUGAGUCUUCGUGUUUGGAAAGGAGGCUCAUUGAAGCAAUUCUCAGUGUUGUGUUGUUGGCUAAAGAAAGAGGAAAGUUUAGAGCAUAUGAGUCCCUAUUGGAGGAAGCUUCUAGGUACUCCCAUUUUGAGACUUGCUCUUUUCUUAGCCUUGAGGGUCAAGGUUCUUCUUCUUCUUUCUGUGGAGGGAAAAAAGAGGUGGUGGUUACUAACCAAGACCUUGUGGCAUUCAAGGGCCAUCCUAUGUGAACGGAAAGGGGUUGGUUGACCCAUUGAGAGUAAUCCGGGUAGAUGGGAGGGAGAGGGGAGUUUCGAUCGAUUUGGAAGAGGGAACCAAAAAAUAUGAUGGGAGAGCGUUGCUAGCAAAAGAUGUGGAAAGAGUUUUGGAGGAGGAAAAAAUGAGUGUUUUGGGUUUGUGGAUAAAUGGUAGUUUCGUGAAACUUUGUCAUUGUCUGGGUAUGCCUACUGAGGGGUUUGAGGGGGAAUUUCGUUGCUUUUGAGAAAAAUGGAAGAGAGGAAAAAUCUUAAGGGUGUUUCGACCGAAAAAAGAAGGAAAAUACAAAAGGUUUCUAGAUCAGAGAAGGAAUUGAAAAAACUUAAGUGCUCAGUGAAUUACAGUGGUGCUAGGAGAAAUGCGGGGAUACUUCAGUUUGCUAACUAAAGUUGGUGUCUUUUUGGUGCUGAGAGGUAAGUGAGGUUUUUCUAGGUUUGUGUAAUGAAGUUAAGAAUAUUAUCGUGGAACGUAAGAGAGGCUAAUGAUUAUGAGAAAAGAAAGGUGAUCAAGGCAUUGAUUAAAGAUCAAAAUGUGGAUUUGGUGUGCUUGCAGGAGACUAAGAUGCAGGAGAUGUCAGAAAGGAUAGUGUGGACCCGCAUUUUUCACGUGCGUCCCCACUCGAUCGACGAGACUCGCUUUUUAUUUGUGAAAAAUUGAUUUUUGAAAAAAAAGUUGGAGUCGCCACUUAUUUUAUUUUUAUUUUUGAAGGGAAAAUAAAACAAGAAAUAAAACCCUAAAAAAAUUGACUCCAUAAUUUUUGGAAAAGCGUGUCUUUGAAAAACCCGAGUCUAAGUCCGGGGAUCAGGUUACUUAUUGGGAAGGUACCUCUAGGAGGUAGCACCCCUCUAAGCCCUAAAGAGGUCUCUACUGACUAAGUUAAGGGAAGCGUGGCAAUUAAAUGGUUGAUCUUGGAUACCUAAGUAGGCUAGGUGAUUCCAAAAAAAAACAUAACAUAUCAAACAAGAUCAAAUCACAAUUAAGGAGAGUUAAAAAUGCGUACCUGGACGGCUUCCCAAGCGCUAUCAUAAAACAUAAGAGAUUAGUUUGGAGAUACAUCACACAACAUUUGUUUUAUCAAAGAUAAUCAAACAAUCAUCAAAUGUAUAUCAAGGCAAUUAAAGAGGAUAGCAAGCAUGGACAUACAUAUUCAUAGGGUUUAGAAAGUGGGUAUUAUGGAACGUACCUGGAUAGCAUAUUUAACUCCUAAUGCGCUUCCACAAAACAUGAGAGGUUAGAUAACAAACAAUAAAAUAAGAAGUCCUAGCAUGCUCGUUAUCUAAUUAUCAUAGCAGAAAUUGUCAAAAUAUAUGAAAACAAUAAUUAUCACACUCAUCCUGUAUACCAUUUCUAAAAAAAAGAUAGACAUAAUUUCAACAAGUGACAAAAAUGGCAAUAAAAAUAAUUUUUGAAAAGAUUUUCUUAUGUAGGGGUUUCACCAAUUCCCCAAAUUAAUAUACACAAAUUUAGCCCAGAAUUAUCCCAUUAUUUGGGACCACAAGCUUUGAUUCGUGUUUUUGUUCAAAACCAAACUUUUUGUUAGAAACCGAGAAGGAUGCAAACCGAACAAAAUAUGGUUGCAUAUUAUUUUUUAAAAUAAAAAAAAAGAUUUUGAUCCUGAGGACUCUAAAUGAGUUUUUGAAAUAAAUUUUUAAAAUGAUUUUUUGAGAAAAGUAUUUUAUUUUAAAAUAAAAGGAAUUAAUUUGGAAAAAAUAAAAUAUAAGAAAUAAAAUACCAAACAAAACAAAAAUGAAACCUCAAAGUAAAAUUUUUUAGUAAUUAACAAAAAUGAUAAUGGUGAUGGUAGAGACCAAUCUUCAUGAUUUUCCAAUGGCCUCUAAAAAUCAAAUUUAAUAAAUAUUCAUCAAAGCAACAAACCAAACGACUUUAGAUCAAAUAAAACUAAUGAAAUAUUAAUCGGGAAUUUAUAAGGAUCAAUCAAACACAUAAAUUGAGAUAAACAAUCUAGAACUAAUUUAAAAUCAACCAAACACCUAAACAUGUAAUUAUAAUAAUGUGAAUAUAGUAACACAAGCACAUAGAAUUCUAAAACAUAUUAACUAAUCAAAAACUAGAAUCAUCAAUUUUAGAACGUGAGCAAAAUAACAUAAGAUUAGUUAAACUAAUUAACCUAUUAGAAAAAAAAAAAAAGCAUGAACUAAAUAUUGAUAAACCAAGAAUGAAGAUUAGUAUACUCAAAACAUGAAUAAUACGACUUAGGGUUAAUUAAAUUAGUUAUCUAAAACUUUGGAAAACAUACAAACUAAAAGUGGAUCAACCAAGAAUUAACCAAAUAUUUCUUAAACUAAUCAACUUAAAUCCUAAAAAGGAUGAAUCAGAAAAAUGAUUUACAAUUUUUUUUUUUAAAAAACAUAAAUUUAAUUAGAUGGGAUCAAAUAGACUAAUGAGCUAAAAUUCUAAAAUAUCUAAACUAAAUAAGAUGAACCAAAACAAGAUCAAAAUAAACUUAAAAACAUAAACUUUAUUACAUAGGAUCAAUUAGAAUGAUAGACUAAAAAUUAUAAAACACUUGAACUAAAUAAAAAGCUGACUCAUAAAAAAACUGACUUUUAAAAUUAAAUCUAUUAAAACCGAUCUAAGCAAAAUUCUAACUUUUCGAACUAAGCAAGGAAUCAAAUCCAAACUACACAAAGAUUCUAAUUUUUCAAUGUAAUAUAAUGAAUCAAAAUUAAAAUAAAACAAAAAAUUCUCACCUUUUAAACCAAAGUAAUGAAUCAAAACUAAGCAAAAAAAAAUUUACUUUUCAAUCUAAUAUAAAAAAAAUCAAAACUAGAUUAAACAAAAUUCAAACAUUUCAAAAAUAACGCAAGGAAUAAAAAAUAAAUUAAAUAAAAUUUUAACCUUUCAAUCUAGUUCAAUGAAUAAAAAAUUGAAUCAAACAAAAAUUCUAAUUUUUCGAGACAAACAUAAUGAAUUAAACUUAAACUAAACAAAACCUAACUUUUGAAACCAUGACAAUAAAUCAAAAUCAAACUAACUACAUCCUAACUUUUUCAUCCGAUUAAAAAAAAAAAUCAAAAUUAAUACAUAAAAACUCUAACUUUCAAUCCAAUAAAAAAAUUAAAACUAAAAUCCUUAGAAAUUCUAACUUACCUUCUCUAGAGUUCCUCUAUGGUGGUGCGGCUGCUAGUGCUCAAUGGUGAAUGUGUGGUGGCUGCCUCCUUCCUCUUCCUUCUCACCGGCCUCUCUUUGUUCCCUAAAAAUAAUAUCUCUCCGUGUCAAUCUCUAAAAAAAUAAAUCCUUCCGUUGCUUCCAAAAAAUAAUAUCUCUCCGUGUGGAUCUCCAAAAAAAAAUCCUUCCUCCUAUAUGGCAGCCUCCUCCUUUAUACAUAUAUGAGUUGCCUUCUUUUUAUUUGGAAAGUUCGUCUUCUCCCAAUUGUGCAUGGCUUUUCCUAGUAUGGAAAAUGUGAUUGCCAAUAUACCGAAUGCAUGAUUCUGUCCUCCAAAAAAAUAUCUCAUGCAACCACAAUAUUUUCUUAUUAAAAAUUCAGCUUCCCAUAAAUUCUCUAGUGUCAUUGAACUCCAAUUUCGAAUUGCAUAAAGAUACCUCUUAGACUUUCUAUCACACCCCAUUUCAUCAACCCUCCUCACAGAAUCUUUAAUACUCUCCGGCUUAUGCAGCAAAAAUCUCGGGAAGCUAAAUACAACUUUCUUUAUCUGUGUCGUGCUGAUUCCACAACUCUUCAUGAAUUCAAUAUUAGGUUUCAAGGUCUUCCCUAAAUCAUGUUUCAGAAACCGCGCACAAAUCUUCAAAACCUUAGAGACAUCCGAGUUCGAACCCAUAACACUCUGCAAUGCUACAAUUGAUGGCAGCAAGCCAUUAUUAGCACUCCUAUUUAAGAUCCACGGGUCUUGCGAUAUAAUAUAAGCAAUGUCGGUGGGCGUACAGCCCAAAUCCUGGAAAAUCUUGAUUUUGGGCUUGAUGGUCUUGUCAAGGUUGGCAGAGAGAACACGGGGGACUCGUUUGACUGUUUUCUCGAGAUGGGUCUGGGAAAAGCCGCUUUCCUUGAGGAAUGCUAGUAUGGAAUCAGACUUCUCGGGCUUUUUCAAAUGUUAUCACAGAAGCGGCCGUUAGAGCGGUUUCUUGGGAGAACUGGUGCCGCUUGAUCAAGUAAUCGGCAGUAGAGACGGGGAUAGCUGGUUUUUUUUUUUUUUUUUUUUUUGGGGUCCGGAGGAGGAGAAGAAGAGGAGAGAGAGGGAGCAGGAGAAGUGAGGUUUGUUGGUGGAGGCAGCGCAGAAGCAGUGGUCGCCGGAAGAGGAGCGAGCUUGGGUAGUUAUUGUUCAGCGUGGAGUUCCGGUUCGACGAUUUCUUCUUGGCAACGUUGAGGAGAUACCUGUCCACGCUGGGUUUUAGUCAAGAAGGUGAGCCUUUUCAUGUUGGUCGCGGUGGAGGCGAUGAUGGUGGCGAACUCUGUCGGCAGUUGUGAACUUCCCCUUUUUCAAUGCAAAAUUCCAGAAGCACUAGCAGUCCUGUUGCGGCUUCUUUUUUAUAUCGGCAUCAGAAGUCACUAAAACUCCAGUUGUCAUUCACCCUCAGGCGUGGUAUGCAUGCCCCCAUGUCCACAUGUUCUUCACGCCAGAUCAUCCUCUCCAGAGACUUCCAGAGAAACUCCAAAAAUGCCUGACCUCCUAUGCCUUGCUCACGUGACAGCUGCAUCAACUUCAUCCUUCUUUAAAAUUCCUCUUCCCAUGCAAAAUAUAAUAGAAUAAUAGUAUAAAAAAAAAUUAAAAGGAAACUAAAGAAACUAAUGAAAUUAGUAAUAAAAUAGAAUAUGAUUUCAAAAAAAAAGGCAAAGGAAUAAUGAGAGCUUAGAUAAUAUCAUUUCCUCCUUCAAUAAUAGGGUCACAUGCGUAUUUAAAGUAUAAACAAUUCAAGCAAUUUUUUUUAUUAAGUAAAUAAAUAAAAAUAAAUAAAUAAAUAAAGACAAUUAAAUACAUGAAUAAAUAAAUAAUAAAAAGUAAAAGUAAAAAAUGAAUAGACAAAAUAAAUGUAAUUAUCAAAUACAUGCCAUAAUAAUAAUAAUAUUGUAUAUAUAAGAAAUAAUAACAAUAAAAUGUUGAGCCUCAAUGAAAUGUCUAAAUGGACCUAUUCUGAAAAAGGUGUCUAAGUGACCCAAGUGACGUGUGUAAAUAAGGAGGUGUCUCGGUGCGAGUCAAGGUGAAUCUAGGUGGGCCUAGGGUGCCUAAAUGGACCUAGGGUGCCUAAAUGGGCUUAAGUGCCUAAGUGGGCCCAGGGUGCCUAAGUGGACUUAAGAUGGUGCUUAAUGGGCCAAGUGCAUCUCAAAACUAUCCUAGAAAUGAAUGAAAAGUCUAAUUCUAAAUUAGGGCUGCCAAAGGUCACAAUAAGGGGUCAGAUAAUCCCUCAACCAAAGUCUCUGAGGUGGCUCAAGAAAGAUAAGUAGUAUGAGUAGCUAUGGGCCACCAAGGAACUACUAUAAAGUAUCGAAUAAGUAUCUAAUAGGACAUGUGCUAGGAGGACAAAAUUGAGGGUCUACAGAUAGUCAGGAGCCUUGGUGUGGGAAGAUGUUUAGAUUGGGAGGCCGUCAACUCGAGAGGGGCCUCUGGUGGAGUGUUGGUGUUUUGAGAUAAUAGGGUGUUACAGUUAUUGGAGGCAGAAGUAGGGAUUUUCUCAGUGUUUUAGUGGUUCAAAAUAUGUGAGGAUGACUUUUGUUGGAACUUCACUAGGGUCUAUGGUCCUACGUUGAAAAAAUAGAGGGAAGAUUUUUUGGAUGAAUUAAAUGCUAUGAGAGGGUUAUGGGGUGGCCCUUGGUGCAUGGCAGGUGAUUUUAAUGUGGUUAGGUUCCCUGUGGAAAGCAGUAUGAGAGGCAGACUAACCUACUCAAUGAAGAGAUUCUUGGAGAUUAUUGAGGAUUUAGAGUUAAGGGACCUACCUUUGCAGGGAGGCUCUUUCACUUGGAAUGGUGGGUUGAAUAAUCAAUCUCAUUCUAUGCUUGAUCGGUUUUUGGUCUCAAAUGAGUGGGAAUGUCACUUUUCAGGGGUUGUGCAGUGUGUUCUUCCUAAACCGGUUUCAGAUUAUUUUCCAAUUCUUCUAGAUGGGGGAUGAGUGAGAAGAGACCCGAUGCCUUUUAGAUUUGAAAAUAUGUGGUUGAAGAAGAAAGGUUUCAAGGAAAAAGUGUAGGCUUUGUGGGAAGGUCUCAGUUUUAGUGGGUCUGCUAGCUUUGUGUUGGUAGCUAAGUUGAAAGCUUUGAAGCCAUUAUUGAGAGACUGGAAUAGGUUGGAUUUCGGUAAAAUGGAAGUCAAUAAGACUUUGGCUUUGAAUCAGGUGGAUUUCUGUGACAAGGUAAAGUUAACCUUGCCUCUUACUGUUCAUGAAUUGGAAGCAAGGAGAGAAGCAAAUGAGGACUUUAAAAAGUGGGUUUUUCUGGAAGAAAUUUUGUGGAGACAGAAAUCAAGGAAAGUUUGGCUGAGUGAGGGGGAUAGGAACACUAGUUUCUUCUAGAGGAGAAUGGGGUUAGAAAUGGUGUGGUGAAUGAGUUUAAGUUGUUGAUGUCUGUUGCAAGAUGAUGGAGACCCAAUAUAAGUGGGAUGUCCUUUGAGAAGUUGGAGUCUAUGGAUGCAACUAGACUGGAUGAGCCGUUUUCAGAGCAGGAGGUGCUAGAAGCUCUUAAGGGCUUUUGUGGGGACAAAGCGCUUGAGCCUGAUGGUUUUCCUAUGGCUUUUUGGCAAUUUUCUUAGGAUUUUGUGAAGAAGAAGAUCAUGGAUUUUUUGUAGGGAGUUUCAUAACCAUGGUCGGUUUGUUAAAAGUCUAAAUGCAACGUCCUUUGUUUUGAUCCUAAAAAAAAAAAAAAAAAAACAGAAGACUUAAGGGACUUCAGGCCUAUUAGUUUGGUGGGAGGGUUGUAUAAGUGACUGGUUAAAGCUAGUGGUGGGUAAGGUGGUCUCUAAGGCUCAAAAUGCUUUUGUGGAAGGAAGACAAAUUUUGAAUGUUGUCUUUGUUGUUAAUGAAGUUAUAGACUCGAUAUUGAAGAGCAAUGAAGGGGCGGUGAUGUGUAAGUUGGAUAUAGAAAAUGCGUAUGAUCAUGUGGACUGGUCCAUCUUGUUUUCAGUCAUGAGUAUGAUGGGUUUUGGGGAGAAAUGGAUCCGGUGGAUGCAGUGGUGUAUUUCCACAGCCAACUUUUAUGUUCUGGUUAAUGGGUCUUCUUCAGGUUUCUUCCAAAGUUCUAGGAGUUUAAGGUAGAGGGAUCGCCUCUCUUCGUACCUAUUUGUGAUGAUUAUGGAGGUUCUUAGUUGUCUCUUAAGGUGUGCAGUAAAUGAGGGUUUUUUGUUAGCCUUUAAGGUGAGGAGUAGAGGAAGUGAGGGGGUUCAGGUGUCUCAUUUACUUUUCGCUGAUGAUACUUUGGUUUUCUGUGGAGCUUCUAAGGAUCAAUUGUUGUAUUUAAGUUGGAUUUUAAUGUGGUUUGAGGCCAUGUCGAGGUUGAGAAUUAAUCUGGAUAAAAGUGAGUUAAUAUCAAUGGGUGGUGUGGAAAACACGGAGGCUUUGGCCACAAAUCUUGGGUGUAAGGUUGGAAGUCUUCCGUCCACUUAUUUGGGAUUGCCAUUAGGUACGCCUCAUAGAUCUGUGGCUGUUUAGGAUGGAGUGGAGGAUGCAGAAGAAAUUGGCUAGAUGGAAGAGCUAAUACAUUUCCAAAGGAGGAAGGAUGACCUUGAUUCGGAGCACUUUGGCGAGUAUGCCCAUUUACUUCAUGUUUGUGCUUUUUAUGCUUAGAAAGGUCAGAUUGAGGAUACAGCAGAUUCAGAGGGAUUUUUUGUGGGGAGGUGAGACCCUUGAGUAGAAACCUCAACUUGUUCGGUGGGGUUUGGUUUGCCUAGAUAAGAGCAAAGAGGGGUUGGAGGUAAAAUACCUUUCUACCCUCAAUAAGGCACUUUUGUGUAAAUGGAGCUGGAGAUUUGAAAAAGAGAGAGAGGCCUUUUGGAAUCAAGUGAUCAGGGGAAAGUAUGGGGAGGAGCAAGGGAGUUGGUGUUCUAAGUGAAGAGUGGAUAUGGUGUGGGGUUAUGGAAAACAUUUAGGAAAGAGUGGAGUGUUGUAAGUAGUAGACUCUAUUUUGUAGUGGGAAAUGGGUAAAAGGUGAAAUUCUGGAAAGAUAGAUGGUGUGAGGAUGAACCUCUUUGUGUUUCUUUUCCCUCUUUAUUUGAUUUAAUUGUCUUCAAGGAUGCUUGGGUAAAAGAUGUGUGGUGUUCCAAUGAGGGUGGGGGGAGUUGGAGCCCACACUUCUCCAAACCGUUUAAAGAUUAGGAGAUGGAUGAGGUGUGCAGAUUCUUUUUGGGCCUUAAUGGGAAGAGAGUUCGACAGGCAGUGGAAGAUAGGGUGAUUUGGAGAGAGACUAAAUGUGGGAAUUUUUCUGUUAAGUCUCUCUACAAAUCAUUAGUUUCAGGCCUUCCAGCCUUUUUCCCUUCGUUGGCCAUUUGGAAAGUUUAUGUGCAAUCUAGAGUGAGUUUUUUUUUGGGUAGGAAGCAAUGUGGGGAAAGGCUCUUACCUUGGAUCAACUUCAAAAGAGAGGAUGACCUUUAGCUAACAGAUGUUAUCUUUGUCAAAGGCACGAAGAAUCAAUAGAUCACAUUUUUCUCCACUGUGCCAAGGCAAAGACUCUUUGGGCGUUGCUUUGCUCUCUUUUUAGGGUGCAGUGGGCGCUGUCGGCAAGAAACAAAGUUGUCUUUGAGGAAGAAGAGUUGUCAAUCCAAAGACUUAAGAAUUCUUUUAUAUAUUUCCUUUGGUUAGAGACGAAACUAUUUAUAAAAGAUGGUCCUUGGACUUUAGUUGAUUUUAUUGAUUGGGUGGGAACCUAUUGAGGGUGGGGUUCGGGCUGCACCUCCGUCCUUAGCAUCCAACUAAGGAGUGGGUUCUUCUUUGUAAUCUUUAAGUCGUUGCUUUGACAAUUUUUUAAUACAAUUUUAUCAUUUACUUAUAAAUAAAAAAAAAAUUAAUCUCAAUAGCUCUCUUUGCAUAACUUCUUGUAGACUUGUGGAUUCCAUAGUUGUUUGUGGUUGUUGCCUUUUUUUCUCAAGUACUAAAUUUGUACACCACCACACCCCCCCCACAAAAAAAAAAAAAAAAAAAAAAAAUAGUGCACUAAGGGGCUUGAAUUUGAAAGAGAGGACACUCAAGGUCCAAUUUUAAUAAAUCUUACUUUAUAUAUUUUGUAUAAUAAUUACAUACAAAAUAAAUAUACUUAUAAAUAUAAUUAUAAAUAGUUUUAAAAAUAAUUAUACAUAUCAUCAUUAUCAUUUUUUUUUAUAUCCUUAAACUUAUCCAAACUAAGAAUUAAAUGUGUGUUUUCAAAUUCCUUAAAUUAUUAUCAAAUGUCACAUAUUUUAUAAGUUAAUAUACAUUAUUUUCUUCACUAAGCUAGCUUCAAUAUGUGCAUUAGUAGUUGUUUUAUCAUUUUCUGUAAGUUUCAAUAUUUUUUAGUUUGAUCAAUUUUCGUUUUACUGAUCUUUUUUUAUUUGAAUUUGGGUCCCUUGUUUCCAAUAUUUCUCUUUGUUUCCCUAAAUCCAAGUAUUCAUAUUUUCAUAAAUUCUCAUAUUCAAAAUGGGAUAAAUUAAUGGGAUGAAUUAGAUAAUAACAGCAUUAGUCAAGUCAUCCCUGGAAGUUUUAUUGAAAGAGAAUUUUGAAACAUAAAGUCGUGAAGUAGAAACCACGCUUGGCACUCUAAUGAAACAUAAAAUUAUUCAGUAGCAACUACAUUUUAAUAGUAGAAUCAAACAUACAAAAGUUCAUUUAUUCGGACACUGGACUUAGCUUAUCAACCCCUUAACCGAAGAAAAGGGACAUGCUCUCCAAUGAAAUAAAAGAGCAGUUCUCGGUAAUAGGAGUUCAAGUAGAGAAAAGCAACGAUGCAUAAGAAUGCCACUCCGUAUGAUCCUCCAAAACUCCAUAAGAAUAUGGCUUCCCAAGAGCUAUUUUCUCUGUUGUCUGAAACUGGUGGUUUGACUGCAGGUGGGGCACUAGUGGGAGUGCAACUUUGAUCUAAUGGCAGCCCACAUAGAAGAGGGUUGCCCUCGUAACUGCUUUGUUCAAAUGUUGCAAACUGAAACUUCCUCUCUGGAGUCUUACCUGAUAAAUUGUUGUGAGCGACAGUGAAAAUCGUCAAGAAGUUUAACUCUAUUACCAUCUGUGGUGGAAUUUGACCUGUCAAUCUAUUGUGGGAUAGGUCCAAGCUUUCUAUUUCCUUUAGGUUGGAAAAUGUAUGUGGAAUAGAUCCUGUCAACUGGUUGUACGAUAAGUUUAGAGUAUGAAUCCCACUUAGAUUUCCAAUUUCUGGAGGAAUUGGACCUGCCAAUUUGUUCCCUGAAAGAUCCAAUCCAGACAUGAAGUACAAGAUGUUUCCCAUAUAAGAUUCGGACCUACUCUUUGUUAUGAACUCUAUUUCUUCACUUUCAGCGGAUGUCUCAAAACUGAAAUCCAUAUCCACGUACACAGAAAGUUGAUUUUCAUAUGAAUAUGUUUCUGGGGAAGCACCCCACCACGACUCAAAGCCUUCUAUAAAAAAUGUGUCAUCCAUUAAUGCAACUUCUCUUCCAAAAGUUAUAUUAUCUAGGCAAGGAGGUAUGGAUCCGGAAAGAUGAUUAUGAGAAAGAUCCAGUAUGCUGAUUGAUUUGAGCUGACACAAAUGAAGAGGAAUUGAGUCUUCAAGUUGAUUUCCUUUCAAGAGAAGAACCCUCAAUUUUGAAAGUAAACUAAUCCAAGGGGGAAUUGGGCUUGAUAGUUUGUUAUCCCUCAAAUUCAAUGUCACAAGAGAGGUAGCUUCAGCCAGAACAUGGGGUAUAGGUCCUAUUAGUUCAUUGCUUUCCAAAUGUAAAAACUUCAUGUUUGUUAGAUUGGCACAAAGAGGAAGGGUUGGGCCAAUUUUGUUGUGAGAAAGGUCUAAAAAGCGUAGUUCAUUGAGUUUGCAAAAGCCUGUUGGCACAACACCAUCCAAAUAAUUUCUAGACAAGAUAAGUGUCCUCAAGGCUGAGAAGUCUCCAAUCGAAUCUGGAAUUUGACCCAUCAACG